UCUGAAUUUCAGAUUUGUCUAACAUCCUGUUUGGUUGCACCGAUUCUAGACUGCGCAUGACUUGCAUAAGUGCACUCAUAAUAUUUCCUAACCAGUGUAUCACAUGCUAAUGAUUUAUCCUAAGAGCAAAAUAAUCUUUUCCCAUUUAAUCACUUUUCUCUGACCUUCAUCACUCUUUUUUUCUCGCUGCCGUUUUUUAAGCACCUCUCUUAUUCUUUCUUUGUGUUCUCCUUGUGCAGGGGGUCUAAUUAUAAAAUCAAUGGAGCCGGGCUGCCUGCUUUAUGGCCUCCUUUAAAACCUUAACAGGGAAAUCACUGUAGGAUUGAUGACUCCCUCACUCUUUAUCUCUUUUAAUUAGAAAUGUAAAAGAUAUGAAGAGCCAGAGGCCAGAGUAGUGCACCCAGGUUUUUACGACUUUUCACCCCUCCCUCCACUUCUGCCAGGGUCUGAUGCUCUUCCUCCGAAAGGCUUUCUUACUCCUCUAGUGCCAUGUUUCAUAAGCCUCCAUUUUCUAUAUGCUUUUGAGUUCUCUCCACACGCUAGUCUCUUGACGCUUUCUGCCUUCAGCUAUUAAUUCAUGUGUCACAUGGUAGAUUGCAACAGAGUGGUCAGCGUCGCCGUAAAUUAAGGUUCUGCGGCUCGACAGAGCACUCAAGCUACGGGAUAUUUAUGGGGGAAAAAAUUAACCGAGUCUUAUCUGCAACGUCCAAGGCACAAGACCAUUCCAAUUAUUUUUAUAGCUCUCAUUAGCAAAGAACAGACAGUUAGCACCAGUGAGUCCAACAUGGACCUUCGUAUUUUGUACUGUAGGGGGGGGAAAAAAAGACCCACAUUCACUGGCCACAUUUGUCAGUAAAUCUGAUUCAUUUUCUUGCUGUUAUAUUCUAUCUACUUCAAAAUUGGACAGAUUGUGAUCAUUCCAGGAUGGCAGCAGUUUCUGAACUCACACCAAAAUCACAUUUUGUGCACAUUCUGGUGAACAUUGAGUAAAGGUUUUGAUCUGGUCGUGCACGGUGAUAUCCAUAGUGCUGCUGCCACCUGAUUAGCUGGUUGGAUCAUUUGAUAGACGUAUAGAAUAAACUGCCUGGUGUCUGUAUAUCAAAUAAAACAUCUGGUGGCUGGUGGAUCUAAAAACAAAGCAUUGUUUGGUUGUGUUUGAACUCAGUAGAUUUAUAAUGCUGGGAUUUUUUUCUUUUUGCAUCCAGGGUGGCAAAAAAGACGCAUUACUCUAAUGGCAUUGGAAUAGCCACGAUGAUGAUUUCACUCAUCAUUACUUAGAUCAUAUCAUUAACUCUGUCUAAAUUGUUUCUGAACAGCAACCGAGAUUAUCCUCUGAAUCAGACUAGAGGACGAAAAAGUACCCUGUCUUUUUAAAUUCGUCAAACAUCCCACACCCUUCCUGUGUUCCCAUAGCAACAUGUUAUUGGCUUGAAUAUACGAGGCCAUUUAGAGCCUCCUUGUAAAAGAGCGUAUAAUGUAUGGACCUUGUUUUAAUUCGAGCCCUGGUUUAUUGAUUUCU
Molecule: long non-coding RNA, 1519 nt
Organism: Tachysurus fulvidraco (yellow catfish)
Lineage: Eukaryota; Metazoa; Chordata; Actinopteri; Siluriformes; Bagridae
Exons: 2
Source: RefSeq, a predicted model, not a curated record